UCUUUGCAUUAGUUCCCAUGUCUAACAAACACCAACCCAUGUCGUGGCCUGGACUAAUCAAUUCUAAUUUUAGUUUGAUGUGGAAGGGAUGUGUCCAAAGUUUUAGUCUAAUAGUUAGGAAUGGUGGCUUGAAGGCCUCUCAAGCCUGCUGUGGUCCCUGAGCUAGCCUUGGAACCUGAAAGGCAAAGCAGUCAGGAAUGUUGCUUGUAACUGGCAGUCUGGGACCUUAUCCAAGAGGCUAAAAAGAUAUUUCUCCACCCACACCCACACACCUCAGAAAAAGGAGGAUUCCUCUUGAUUUUGCAAUGUUUCAGUAAAACUCAAAAGGGAAUCUUUGACCUGGAAGAUAGGACAUUUAUCGUCUUGGCCAUUUGCAGCUGAGGAAGUUACUGGAUCUCUGCUUAGAGAAGUAAAGGCCUGGAUCUGAGGAAAGCAAGGGCCCCUUGGGAGUGCCUGCAAUCUUCUGCUUUUAUUUUGACAGCCCUCAGAGCUAGGUUUUAAACACUCACCAGAGAAAAAGCCUCUCCUCCAAGCUUGGGCUUGCCAGUAAGACACUCCCCUUCUGCACACUAUAAAGGCAACAGCUGGCUCUGAGCACUUCCUCCUAGGUCAGCUUCAAGUGACUCUGAGGAGUCAGUCCUGGUCAAGAGACUUUUCAUUUCAACUCUGUUGAGGACAUUUAUUCAAGGUUUCAAAUCCUGGAUGCUGAAGUGAACAAACCUGGAGCAUCUCACACUCUGAAACUUGCUAACAGGCUGUAUGGAGAGAAAACCUACAAUUUCCUUCCUGAAAGUGCCUAGCAGUUCACAUUCUGAAACUUCCUGAAGUGACACAGACUUUUCCUGGCACAACCAAGAUGCAGGCCAUUCAUAGAAACAGCAAAGAAUGCAUGUGGAACCUUCAUCUCAUAGUCUUUCUAAUGAGAGGAUACCUCCUGGGGGCUUCAUCCAAGAAAAAUAAGGACUGAAAGGAUGGCCCAGAAAGGAAGAGAGCUUCCUGUGCAAGCAUGAGAAGCUGAGUUUGGAACCCAUGAAAAAUGCCAGGCCUAGCUUCAUACUCCCUUGUAACCCCAACCCUGUGUAGGGGAGCUAUGAGAACCCCUUGGGUUUGUGGACUACCAGGCUAGGCAGAUUCAGUGGGAGAACUUGUUUUAAGGGAAUGAGGCAAAGAGUAUGAGUAAGACACUUGACGUCUUCUCUGGGCUUCAGAAAUGCACAAAUAUGCACACCCAUACACCCAUACACCCAUACACCCUACUCACAUGUCGGACCCUCCUGGGUCCCCUGCAGUGUUUGACCUCAGCUGAAGCCCUGCUGAUGUUUGUAGAAGCCUUUUGUUCCCAACAAAGGAAUGCCCUGGCCCUGUAGCAACACACCUGGGAGGUACACCUGGGCAAUAAUCCGUUCCUGUCUUUUGUUCUUCGGUCUUUGUUCCUGAGGGCUUAAGCCGGGUUUCCCACUGUGCUUCCUGGAAUUCUCCACCCAGUGAACUUGGGGUAUAUAUUCCGUGAGUAAAUAAAACAAAAGAUUUGGUAUUCUCGUGACACCAA
RNAcentral lists this small RNA (1549 nucleotides) under Rattus norvegicus (Norway rat). RNAcentral's name for it is "uncharacterized LOC102555109". Lineage: Eukaryota; Metazoa; Chordata; Mammalia; Rodentia; Muridae. The record is from RNAcentral.